Molecule: long non-coding RNA, 2267 nt
Organism: Alligator mississippiensis (American alligator)
Lineage: Eukaryota; Metazoa; Chordata; Crocodylia; Alligatoridae
Exons: 2
Source: RefSeq, a predicted model, not a curated record
AUGAGUACUGAACAAUCAACAUUCUGUAAACAAAUGGGAAUACAGUAAAUGCAUGUUAAUUUGAUUAUGCAAUUUAUAUAAUGUAUCCAGCAUAGAGAGUGUAUUUCAAAUAUUUUCCAGUUCUUUAAAAUAAGCAUUCUCUCUCCAAAGGGAUAAUACAAAUUUAUGUAAUAGCCUAUUUGGAAAAAUACUGUGUGAGCUCAACUGAGCACCGCUGUCCUUGACUUGGGGUUCUCUGGAUGGGUAGAAGCCUACCAAUGUGCAAAAGCUGAUACCAUCACUGUGAGCAAAAAGUUACUCAGAGACUUUAUUCCAAGGUUUAGUAUUCCUUUAUCCAUAAACUCUGAUAGAGAAACUCAUUUUACUGGGCAAAUAAUGGAAGAAGUCUGCAAAGUCCUGCAAAUCCAGCAGCACUUUCAUUGCCCCUACCAUCCACAGGCCUCAGGCCAAGUAAAAUGCCAAAAUGGCAUUUUAAAAAAUAAACUGGCCAAAAUUUGUUCUGAAACUCACUUAAAAUGGCCAGAUGCACUUCCCAUAGCCCUUAUGAGUAUGAGAUCUACUAUCAAUCGAAAGACCAGACUUGGCCCACAUGAAAUCCUGAUGGAAAGACCCAUGAGGCUCCCUGCCUCACCACCUGUUGCCUCCCACUUUUGUGAUAUACAUUUACUUGAUGAUACUAUUCUAGACUACUGUAUGGCACUAAUGAAGUGUGUCAAGGCUUUUCAUUCACAAGUACAAGCAACUCUCCCCAAAGAACAAAAUGAGCCACGCCAGUCCAUCCUGCCUGGUGACUGGGUUCAUGUAAAAAUCCAUCAAUGAAAGUCAUUGCUGGAACCCCGCUGGAAAGGCCCAUUCCAGGUACUCCUGACAACCAACACUGCAAUAAUAGUGUCAAUAGUGUCAAAGACUCCAACUGUGGAUCCAUGCUUCACACGCUAAGAAAACAUCAGCUCCGUUAGACUUAGUCUCCUCCAUAUCAACCUUGUAAUCAGCCUCCACAGACUGGUAGUGAGCCUAGCGCCUGCCAACAAGAGAGCUUAAGACCAGUAGUGAGCCAAGCGCCUACUGGCAAAGAGAAUUUGCCACUACAGAAUGAAGAAAAUGUACCCCAACAACACCACUAUGCCCUUUAAGAGAAGAAAAAGGCCUCUACCUAGUUCCUGGUUCCUGAGGUGAGGUUAGUUAGUUAUGACUUAAGUACUUCUCAGCCUUUCCUUUUGUAUCAUCUUAUAUGAACUUAAAGACUCACCAGCUAAAAGAAACUUUGUAAAUCAAACUAGACUUCAAACUAGGUCAAAAAGAUCACUCCCACACUGGUAUGCUCACCAAAACACUUUUCGUCAACUGUCUUAUCAAUAUGCAAAAAAUUUAAAUGUUUCCAAAUGUUAAAUAUGUUCCCAUUUGCCUCCUAGUACAAUGAUAGGGGUGCCCAUGAUUGCUUUAUCCCUUAAGUGGACCAACUUUUAUGAUAUGUAUGACCCACAGCACAACUACAGUGAGUGCCAAGAAUUUUAGUCAAAUCAAACCUUUUCCCAACGUCUUCCUCCCUCUUCUGAUCCUGCUCCAGUUUUAGUUCCUUGGGCUCUACAGUUAUUCAUAGUCUGUUAAUAUUGUUUGUUUUUUUUUUAAAUAUUCUUAGUACUUAUGCUAAUACGAUGCUGCUUAAGUUGUGCCGCUAAGCAAAUGCAAAAUAGCUUGUUAACCUCUGUGCAAAGAAACGAAGUGUAUAAUAUGUAUGUUGAACUAAUAGAUGGUAAAGAGACAGAAAAAUUAGAAGUUAAAAGGCUCAUGGCUAUAAAUAUGUAAUAUGUUGGGCCAAAAAGGCCCAAAAGGGGAGAAUGUGGAAGUAAGUUUAACUAGGCCUCUUCCUUGACUAAGAAGAGAGACAAAGAGAGAGAAAGAGAAGAGAAAAAGAUGCUGAUGCUGUGUGUUUCAAAAUGUUCUAAGAUAAGAAAAAAUCUUCAUGCCUUGUUUUGUCUGUGUGCACAUGUUAACCUUCUCCUUCCAGCCAAACUAGAAGCUGAUAACUGUUCCCAAAACAUAGUGUUUUUUUAAAAUAAGUAAACUGCUUACGUGUGACAAACAAAUAAUCAAUAUCUUUCUGUUUCUUUCAAGGUUGCUUUGUCUGAACCCUGCAUCUCUUCUCGCUUUCUAAAGUAUAAAUAUGCUUAUAAACUUGUAGAGGUCAAAGUUCCUUUAAAAACUCUUCCUGUGAUCACUUGUAUAGCUUUAAAUAAAUCUAGAUGACUCUGCCAAUUCUAAUACAA